Molecule: ribosomal RNA, 497 nt
Filed under: uncultured bacterium
Lineage: Bacteria
Description: bacterial SSU rRNA
Rfam family: Bacterial small subunit ribosomal RNA
Source: RNAcentral
UAUCUUCGGAUAGAGAGACCGGCGCACGGGUGCGUAACGCGUAUGCAAUCUACCUUUUACAGAGGGAUAGCCCAGAGAAAUUUGGAUUAAUACCUCAUAGUAUAAUGACUCGGCAUCGAGAUAUUAUUAAAGUCACAACGGUAAAAGAUGAGCAUGCGUCCCAUUAGCUAGUUGGUAAGGUAACGGCUUACCAAGGCUACGAUGGGUAGGGGUCCUGAGAGGGAGAUCCCCCACACUGGUACUGAGACACGGACCAGACUCCUACGGGAGGCAGCAGUGAGGAAUAUUGGACAAUGGGCGCAAGCCUGAUCCAGCCAUGCCGCGUGCAGGAUGACGGUCCUAUGGAUUGUAAACUGCUUUUAUACGAGAAGAAACACUGCUUCGUGAAGCAGCUUGACGGUAUCGUAAGAAUAAGGAUCGGCUAACUCCGUGCCAGCAGCCGCGGUAAUACGGAGGAUCCAAGCGUUAUCCGGAAUCAUUGGGUUUAAAGGGUCCGU